This 60-nucleotide transfer RNA is filed under the name Limnoperna fortunei. RNAcentral's name for it is "tRNA-Ser". Lineage: Eukaryota; Metazoa; Mollusca; Bivalvia; Mytilida; Modiolidae. The record is from RNAcentral.
GAUCAAUUGAUAGGCUGUCUUGAAAACAGUUAAUGAGUGUGUCGUUAUGCUCGUUGGUCU